RNAcentral lists this unclassified non-coding RNA (240 nucleotides) under soil metagenome. RNAcentral's name for it is "partial contains 5.8S ribosomal RNA, internal transcribed spacer 2, and large subunit ribosomal RNA". The record is from RNAcentral.
AACAUCGCGCACCUGCGGGAACCUGCGGAAGGAUCAUUACAGAGUUGCAAAACUCCCUAAACCAUUGUGAACGUUACCUAAACCGUUGCUUCGGCGGGCGGCCCGGGUCCUUCCCGGCGCCCAUCGGCCCUCGCGGGCGCCCGCCGGAGGUAAACCAAACUAUUGCAUUGUAUGGCCUCUCUGAGUCUUCUGUACUGAAUAAGUCAAAACUUUUAUCAACGGAUCUCAGAUCGGAAGAGC